Molecule: non-coding RNA, 334 nt
Filed under: Hypholoma sublateritium FD-334 SS-4
Lineage: Eukaryota; Fungi; Basidiomycota; Agaricomycetes; Agaricales; Strophariaceae
Description: Eukaryotic small subunit ribosomal RNA
Rfam family: Eukaryotic small subunit ribosomal RNA
Source: Rfam by way of RNAcentral
GUUACUAUUUGCCUUUUCCUUCAUCAGACACAGCUACUCUCAUCAGAUUAUGGCCUCAAAUUGGAACAAAUCUAAAUAUACAGCCCACCUGCCCCACAAAGCAGGGUAGUAAUUUGCUAAAUCCUUCAAUUAUGUAAUGCUCAAAUACAAUUCACCCUGCCUGCUGUAAUUAUGAUAUAAUAAUGAAAUAACCCUGCAAUAUAAUGAAAUGAUAUAGUUUAUUAGGUUAGAUUAGAGUUGCUAGAGGUGAAAUUCUUGGAUUGACUCAAGACCAACUAUUGCGAAAGCAUUUGCCAAGGAUGUUUUCAUUAAUCAAGAACGAAGGUUAGGGGAU